This 440-nucleotide ribosomal RNA is filed under the name uncultured bacterium. Its description in RNAcentral is "partial 16S ribosomal RNA". It matches the Rfam family "Bacterial small subunit ribosomal RNA", at positions 338 to 795 of the family's 1533-position model. The record is from RNAcentral.
CCUACGGGGGGCAGCAGUGGGGAAUAUUGCACAAUGGGGGAAACCCUGAUGCAGCGACGCCGCGUGAGUGAAGAAGUAAUUCGUUAUGUAAAGCACUAUCAGCAGGGAAGAAAAUGACGGUACCUGAGUAAGAAGCCCCGGCUAACUACGUGCCAGCAGCCGCGGUAAUACGUAGGGGGCAAGCGUUAUCCGGAUUUACUGGGUGGAAAGGGAGCGUAGACGGCAGUGCAAGUCUGGAGUGAAAGGCGGGGGCUCAACCCUCGGACUGCUCUGGAAACUGUACGGCUGGAGUGCAGGAGAGGUAAGUGGAAUUCCUGGUGUAGCGGUGAAAUGCGUAGAUAUUAGGAGGAACACCAGUGGCGAAGGCGGCUUACUGGACUGUAACUGACGUUGAGGCUCGAAAGCGUGGGGAGCAAACAGGAUUAGAUACCCUUGUAGUC